GAUGAACGCUGGCGGCGUGCCUAACACAUGCAAGUCGAGCGAAGCAUACAGGAGGAAGUUUUUGGAUGGAAUCCUGCAUGACUGAGCGGCGGACGGGUGAGUAACGCGUGGGUAACCUGCCUUAUACAGGGGGAUAACAGUUAGAAAUGACUGCUAAUACCGCAUAAGCGCACAGUACCGCAUGGUAGUGUGUGAAAAACUCCGGUGGUAUAAGAUGGACCCGCGUCUGAUUAGCCAGUUGGCGGGGUAACGGCCCACCAAAGCGACGAUCAGUAGCCGACCUGAGAGGGUGACCGGCCACAUUGGGACUGAGACACGGCCCAA
RNAcentral lists this ribosomal RNA (324 nucleotides) under uncultured bacterium. RNAcentral describes it as "bacterial SSU rRNA". It matches the Rfam family "Bacterial small subunit ribosomal RNA", at positions 28 to 334 of the family's 1533-position model. The record is from RNAcentral.